RNAcentral lists this non-coding RNA (32 nucleotides) under Rattus norvegicus (Norway rat). The record is from RNAcentral. Lineage: Eukaryota; Metazoa; Chordata; Mammalia; Rodentia; Muridae.
UUAGGUAGCCAAAGACCACAAUUCUGCCUAAC